Molecule: long non-coding RNA, 526 nt
Organism: Oreochromis aureus
Lineage: Eukaryota; Metazoa; Chordata; Actinopteri; Cichliformes; Cichlidae
Source: Ensembl
GCUGAUGGAGUAGGAAGUGUUACAAACAGCUGAUCGGAUCGGCAAAGCGUGUUUCUGGAAUAUUUUGUUUUUGUUGCUGCAAGCGCUUUUUAUGCAGUUUUUGCAAAGCUAUAUGUGGAAGGAAACCGUGACCUAGGACAAGCUGAUGGCAUAAAAUCAGAUGGUCUACAACAGCAGAAGACUACAUCAGGUCCCACUCCUGUCAACUAAGACAGCACAGGCUCACCAAAAUUGGAAAUUAGAAGACUGGAAAAACAAUAUGAGCAACAUUCAGAAGGUAGGGUCAGAAUUUUGCAUAAAAAACACGAAAGUGUGUCUCCGUCAUGCCUCGUUCAGGCAGUUUUGCUAUACUAUUGGCUGUAAAUUACUUCAGGUGAAUGGAAUGUCUCUAAAUGCUCAUCUCAGCCAAAAAGCUAAGGAUUUUUUUAAAACUGUGAAUCAUGCAAAACCGCUCUGGUAAAAUGCAGGAAUUGUUUUAAAAAAGGGAAAUGAGCAUAAUAAGUUCCCUUUGACAAUAAUUUUUUUU